UACUCUCUCCUCGAAGCCCAGAAUCAAGGAGAGAGUCUGUGAAUUUCCCAGGUUUGAUACCUAAUAUCGCAUGUGCACAGGCAUGUGUGCAUACACACAUCAUAAACGUGUGUGUGUAUAUGACAAUUCAAAACAGACCCCACUGGGGAUGUAGUUCAGUAGAGAAUGAUUGCCCAAGUCACGUGAGAUCCGGAGGCCCAUCCCAGUGUGGGGCCGGGGUGGGAGGUUCCAUGGUUUCCAGCAGCCAUUAAUUCUAAACCAUUUAUUGCCAUGCAAACACAUGACCCCAGGCCAACCUUGGGAAACCGGAGGUGCUGUGGUGUCCAUAGGCCAGGCUUGUGCAAGUGUAAAACAAGCCUCUUGGGGCACUAGGAAUCACAGUUUUCAAAACUUGAAUAAUUUUGAAAAUCAUACUGCCCCAUUUCUUUUGUAGAGAAGGAAGUUAAGAAGAGCAGGUGACAGUUGACCUGGGUGCAGUGGCCAAGCAGAGGAGAGAUCCCAUGCCCUCCAGGGCCACACGGGGGGGGGCGUGGCGGUGAGUCCUUCAACUGGCCUGAGAGGUCACACAGGAAAACGAGGGAGGACCCAGGCUGAGUCAGCUCUGCUGCUCCUGACCCCAGUGCCUCCCGAAAGGCCAGACUCCUGGCCCCAAAGCGUGACAAAGGCCUGUCCUUCUUCCUCCAGGGUGUCUGUCACCUCGUCACCAUCUUUGUUAUUUAAUGGGGUGUGCACAGGACGCUAACAUUGCCUUCCUAGGAGUGCCCCAGAGCUCUGUCCUGUGACUCUGAGAGUGCAGGGACCCAAAGCUGACCCUUCUAGCCCCACCCUCCCAACUCUCCACAAGUUCCAUUGUCCCGGAGACCUGACUUACAAACCAGAACCAGAGGAGAUAUUGUUAAGAGGUCAAAGUCUAAACUAAAGUAGCAGAGCCUUCUUUAGUGGGUCUCUCCUGAGGGCCAGGCACGGAGAGUCUGCUCUGGCUGCAGGCAGGAAGCCAGGUCAGAGAUGAGCAGCUGCUGGGACCUCUGAAGUUAUUCAGACACCAGAGAUACACGGUCAGGGGAGGGAGUGUCAGCCUUGCCUUCUCUUGCCUUGGGCUGCAGCCUUCUCUGAGGUGGGAGAGGGGAAGGCCUGUUUGUCUAUUAUGAGCCCUGAGAGGGGGAAGAAUUUGAGAUGUGCUCCAUCAUGGCUCCUCUCCCGUCUUUCCCUCCUCCCCAUUCUAGAGAUGGAACCCAAGGCUUGUUUAGAGUAGGCCAGAAUUCUACCACUAAACCCUAAUUCAGUUUCUCCAUAUCAUCCUUUAGUAUGUGUGUGUAUGUGUGUAUUUGCAUGUAUUUGUUCAUGUAUGUGCUCACACGUACAUGGGUGUACAUAUGUGCAGAGGCAAAGAAAACCUAGAGCAUCAUUCCUCAGGAACUAACCCGAGUCUUGGUUUUUGAGUCAAGUGGAUCUGUGUUCAGUGGGAUUUUGAGUUCAGUGGGAUCUGGGGCUCAUUGAUUAAGCUAGUCUGGGAUCCUCCUGUCUCUACACGCCACCAUCCUGGCUUCUUUACAUGUGUUCUGAGGAUAGAGCUGGGGUCCUCACACUUGCGUGGCAAGCACUUUCCUGACUGAGCCAUCUCCUCAGUCGCUGGCCCCCACAUCCUCAGCACAGGCACAGGGUGGCUACAAGAACUUCCUUGUCGUCCCCUGCAGCUUUUGGGCAGUGUCUGUGGAAUCUCACUGUGGCACUGACCCCUGCUCUCUGCUUGCUUUUGAUGCUGCUGAUGGAUUUAGUCCUUCGAGAGGCUAUACAGCCGGACUCAAGCCGUGAGCAUGUGGAGCCCGCCUGAGGAGAUGCAAAGACCGAAGCCAGAGAAGGUGGCGCAUGCCUAGCUAGCUGGAGCCCUGUGCCCUACACACAGGAUCUCUGCACCCUCACCUCCAGGCCUGUGGUGCGGGGAGGACUCAUUUGGGUGGUUGCCACACUGACGCGGCACUGAGUCAGAGCGGAGAUGGCUUUCCGAGAUAGUACGCUGGUUGAUGUGGAGAAGCAGUCUCAGGACUUGGCGCUAUGGCGCCUGCCUGCCUCCUUCCGGACUGCUUGACACUGGCUAAUUUGUGCUUGGAGCGUGUCGGAGACUCUCCAGGGCUCCUGUUGGCACUCCCUGGCCUUUUAUGGGUGGAAGGUUCUUAUUAGCACUCGGGAAGUCGGAGUUUUCCUUCCGGAUGGGUUAAUGCGUAUUUGGAAAGAAGAGCGUGGAAAGGCGGCAUGGGAGUGUCCACAGCCCAGCAGGACUUGGGGCUACAGAACAAUGAGCACUUGCAGCCAGCAGGAGGGACCCUCUGCAUGGGUGCAUUAGGAAAUAUCUGGGAGAGACCUCUACAGUGCGGGUCGGAGACGGGGCCUGCUCACGGCUCAUUAGCCCCGUGGCCAGGUGCCAGAGGUUGGUGGAAAAGAACAGGUGACUCCUCUCGGGAGCAUCAUUAAAACCCCGUGGUUUGCGCUUGGCAUUCAGGGACCAUUACCAAAUCCUUGCCCUUGGAAUAAUGUUUCCAGGUCUUCUUAUUUUGGAGGACAAGGGUAGCGAGGUGAAGGCCUGAAAGGAAUGGUAAGCGAGAACAAAACCCAGGUGCCCUGCCAAGAAUGGAGCUGAUGGUAGGAACGCCACACGUAAGGACAGAGGCAUCAUAUCUGUGUGAAGCAAAUAAUCAAAGCCACGGCCAAGGUCAUAUGAGCAUCCUCUGCAGACAUCUGGACAACUGUGGACUCACAUGCAUGCCAGAGGACCUUACCAGCCUGGAGACAACCACACCAGGAUGGCUAGGUUGGGUCCCACUGCCAUCCCAGGUGAGGAACGCAGUUUUAGCUCCCAGUAUUCACAGGACUUUCCAUCCGCCCACCCCCGUCAGCAGGGCAGCCAGGCUUCAGGUCUGAGCUGUGAAAAGCCAGGGGAUCUCUGACUCACUCGCCUCCUCUCCAGCUGCGACAGAGAUCUGGGAAUGUGAGGCCCAUUCUGAGCGAGGGGACAUUCCUGAGCUGGGGCUUGUAGCAGUCCUAAGUCAACCGCCCACUUCCUCUCCAGUCACACUGCUUCAUCUGAGGAGCAAGGCUAACCUCACACAGCGAGCGGCAUGGGGCAUGCAGCAUGGGGCACCCAGCAGAGUGCAUCGCCCAGCCACAGAGAGGGCAGUGGACAGGGAUAGCAGCUGUCCCCUCCGCUUCCCACAAACAGGAAAGAUGUCUCUCAGCUCAGGCCUGUGAUGUUCGAGACAUGCCUGUUUCAUAACACGUGUUCACAGGGGACCUAGGAACGCGUCUCUUCUGGGGGUAGACAUUGCUGGUUUUGAACAUUUGAAGUCACAGACAGAUGACUCCGCCGACCUUUGACCUGUGGGUAAACAUUUGUGCAUCUGAAUCCCAGAAAAGCGUUAUUUAUUAACAGAACUCGGAACAGACACGCAUGGCAAGCUCGCAGGGGGCAGCCUGGGUCAGUGGACGAUGCAGAGGACGGGGCAAGGGGCACUGGCCUCACCAGGGACUGCUGUCAUGGGGAAGACUGGCCCUCACAGUGUGCUGAGGUGGACUAUGGAGGGAAGGACGGUGCUCAGGGCGCUGCAGGCCAGGGGCAAGGGAGGACAAGACCCAGGAGAGACAUCUGUGCUGGGUGGGACCCAGUCUGCUCAAAUGACCCCCUAGCGAGACCUAGGGAGAAGCGGAGCAUGGGCACAGCAGGGGCAAGAUGGGGGGUGGAGAUUCAGGCACACAAGUCACAGCCCAUGGCUAGAUUGGCAGCGGCUACUGGAGGUGUUACGGUCCUGCGCAGAGAGUGGCAUCACCAAAGUGCCACAGCCAGGUCAUCCUGAUGGCACUCUGAACUUUGGCCUUGAAAGGGCUGGUGGAGGGGAGCUGUUAGGAGAUCCUAUCACUGCUGUCGACAGGCUAGACCAGAGUGGCAAGGUGUGGAACUCCCCUGCCCAACUCCCCGCCGGAGAGCCCCUGGUGACUGCCAGGAUACUGAAUUCUCGCCCAAGCUACCUUGUGUACCCUGAAAGCCCCAGCCCUAAGUGGCAGGCUGCUGCUGUAGCAUCUCACAGGUGAGGGCCCGAGGCUUGGAGACAAGAGGGUACCACUCACAGUGAGGCAGCGCAGGGUCAGGACUUAAACAGACCUGUCUGCCUCCUGCCACACCCACUCGGGAGAGGAGAGGGUCUCUGAUCAUUUCUAGUUAGAAGCCUCCGAGAACAGACAGCUGACAAGGGCAACUGGGGUGGGUGGACCAGAUGAAAUUUUAACACUGCCACAGAUGGUGACAACAUGUGGCCAGAGUGACCAGCCCAAGGUUCGUGUGAAAGAUGGACAAAGAGAGUUCUGCCUCAGUAGAAGGUGAAGAAGAGGUUUAUAGAGAUCGGAGGCAUAUUCGUGAGGCCUCAGGCACCUUCUCGAUGACCUGUGACGUGUCCCUCCAUCACCUUCAGUGUGUAGGUGAGGAAACAAAUACUCAAAGGCCACAAGUUCCCCCUUGAGUCCAGGAGGUGGGUCAGCGGGUAACAGUAUUUGCCACCAAGCCCGAUGACCUGACUUCUGUCACCAGGACCCACAUGGUGGCAGAGAGCCGACUCCCACAGCUGUCCUCUGACCACCACACAUGCACCAUGGCACGUGUGCAACUUCCCCCAAACAAAUGUAAUUUAAAUUUUUUUUUUAAAAAAGAAACGUUUUAAACUUUUAUCUAAAGUUACAGCCCAAGGACUCUGGGACUCUGGCUGAAGCGUCGCCCACCAGUGUAUCUGGGUAGAUUAACACAGGAAGACACUCGCAGAAUAAUAGAACCUUCCACGGUAAGGAAUUCAGCUGGGGUUUGUCAGCCCCGUAGUGAGGCACAAUCCACAGCGGGACAUGAACUGUGGCGCUGCAGUUUGAGUGUCUCUCAGAUGCACUCUGACGUGUAAUUGGCAUGUAGCAGUAUUCAGAGAUGGGGUCUUCAGGAAAUUAUUAGGUCACCGUCCCCUGAAUAUUUACAGCCAGCCGACCCCGUCCUUUCCCACCCGCCCCUCUCCAGACAGGCAGACCCCAGCUCACUCACCUGGCUCCUCGUGGUACUUGGUUCAACACUGUCCACCCAAAGCAAGUCUUCUACGUUCCUCUGCCCCUCUCCCAACACACGUGCAAACGCUCCUCUAAGUUCUUGGCUCAGUCUUCCCUCUACCUCCAGCUACAGCGUUACUCAGAGUUCCUCCCGUCCCUCUCGGGUCUCAUCAUGACCGACACCCCACCUCCCUCCCCAAAUUUCUCCACGUCUUCACUCCAUCAGGCCAUCUCAUCCACACCACCCCCUGCUAACCAAAGUCUGGUUCCUCUCAGAUGCCAAAGGCUGUGAAGCAAGAAAGACCCAGGAAGGGACACGUACAAACUUGCUUUUCUAAUUUUCAAAUUAUUAUCCAAUUAUCGUUCAGAUGAUUUCCUUGGGAGACGGCCCCAAGAUUGGAAUUCAGGGGUGAAGAAGGUGGGUUAUCUCGGUGACUCACGGCUCCCAUACGUUUGAAGACAAGCACCUACCCCCCCCCCACUCCCAUUCUUCUCCAACAUACAUAUUUUAAGAGUGUGUCGGAAGAAUUUUAAUUUGUGCUUUGCCUCUUGUUCCCUUUCUCUUUUCAUUAAAAGAAUUCAAUAAAUUUCAAAACACCAUCCUAUCCCCAUAGGUUGGUUUGCUUUAUUUCCAUUUUGCUGUCUGUUUCCCAGGCUACAGAUACCAUUUUACUAAUUGGCAGGCAUUUCACCAAUUUUAUAGCAUGGACAUUUUCCCUCAAAAGACUAAGAAACAGAGUCAGGAGGAGGCUUGGCUCAUGCCCUUCCUCAUGCUCCAAGUGAGUCUCAAAUAAACAAAAACAAGAGUGAAUUGGGAAGGGAUUAUCACCCUGUAUCUUCAUCAGAAUAAUAAGCCACUUUCUCUUUUCAAUAAAGACAAAAAAAAAAUGGUACAGGAAGGGCUCUGGGUAUGGAGAGACAGAAAAAUUCCCCUUUUAUUGAAUAUUGUGUUUUUAAUGAGAAAUAUACCCAGAGGCUGCCGGAGGAAGUGACUCACUGGGGGUGGUCCUUGAGUGUUCUAGAAAAUCCAGGCAGAAGUGACUCACUGGGGGUGGUCCUUGAGCGUUCUGAGCCUGGGUUCAUUCCUCGUCCUCUCUCUGCUCUCCUCCAAGAUGGGAUGGGAGGAAGAAAGUCCCAGCCACACCCCCGUUUCCAUGAGCGUCACACCCCCACUCUGCACGCCUGAGCUAAUAGGCCCUUCCUUAGUCAGGUUUGGUGACAGCAACGGGACCCGUAACUGAUGCAAUGAUGCCUUUUCCUGAAAUGUUCACUUAUGGAAAAAUGAAGUGAUUGAUAAGCUCUAUCUCUCGAGUCUCGAUCCCGCUACCUGCCCUCUCCUCCCUCUCCCCUUCCCUCCCCUCCCUCUGACCCUCAAAGGCUGUCAAAGCCACAGUGAUUUGUCUGAAAGACUCAUCUGAUUCCCUGUGGGCCCCUUUUAGAGAUUUCAGAGCUUGGGUCCUGACUCCUCAGUGUAAACCAUCAUCUUUGAGUAAAACUGACUGUCUCAAGCCAGAUAUGUAUUUUCAGCUGCAGCACCUUGCCCAAACCUGGAGAAGUCUGGAAGAUUCAUGUAAGCUUCAGAGAACUGAGGGAGCCACAAGUCUCGAAUCCACUUCUCAUAGAACAAAAGGAUUCCAGGUAAGUAAGCCUAAUUUCCCCUAUCUGUCUCCUCUCUCUCUCUCCUGGUCUUGAGGCUCCCUCUCCUCCCCCAACUCCUAGGACCAUGGCCUUAAAGUCCCAAAUGUAAGGGUUUCCUUUAACUUCCUAAAUUUUAACUUUUCCCCUAGUCUACUUCUGUCUCACCAGAUUUUCACUUGGCUGACACAUCAAAGCGUCACCUGCUGACCACAACCUGCUCUGCACGGCUGAGAGCCCUGGACUUGCUGAAAGCUGAUAUGGACCAGUCCAGUCUACGUGAAUGUUCCAUCUCUUCAGCUGGGUCAGCGAUCCCCAUGAAUGCCCCACUGCCUUUGACUAGCAUUCCAGCCUUCCUGGGCCCUCACAACAAAGUCCUAGUUUAGCAGGAAGUAGUUACAGAAGAGAGUUCCUUCUAGGUAGUAAUUCUGAUGUCAACCAUCACAGGACCUUUGACCCUUCUGCGUCUGCUAAUUGUGUCGACUCUUGCAUCCUUAAUGCCUUAACUAAAUGAUAAUUCCUGUCUGGGUACCAUUAAGCUGAUGGUUAUUAGAUCCCAAUAUAAACAGGUACCCAUCACAGAGUCAAGGAUUUGACUCAGGAUACAACUUGAGGAGGAAUGUGAGAGCCAAAGUUACAUCUUAAAUUUUAAUUACUCUGCCUAAGAGGUCCAUGAAACACAAAUGCCUCUCAUCUGCAAGCCCCUUGCCCAAGGACAGAUAGUUCCGAAAAUGUUGGAGACUAUUCGUUAUGGAAGAUAACAAGCCACAUGUUUCAUUCCCCUAAACAAGUUCAUUUGGCCAUCUGCACCAGAUGUGCUUGAUCACAUGUGGACGGGAAGUUCACAAGCAGGAAAUAAGUCAGGAUGCAUGCUUGCCCCUGAUUGAACGAAAGCUGGAGAUACAACAGGAUGUAUGCUUGCCCCUGAUUGGAUCUGAUAGGAAAUACUUAAACUGUUGUAAACUCUGAUUCGGAGUCAUCUUCUGGAAACCUAGAGAUGGUCCUGGACAGAGCCUAUCCUGGCCAGUACUUAAUUAAAGCUUGCUUCAAAUUUGGUUUUAAACCAUGGUAGAGGUCUUAUUCUCAAUCAGUGGGAUUAACAUUAGGAAGUGAGAAAACUCAGUUCUCUUGAUUAGAUGCGUUAGGAAUCCGCCUGUCCUUCACCAUGUGGGUCUCAGGAAUGAAACUGGGGUCAUCAGGCUGAGUGGCAAGCACCUGUACCCACUGAGGCAUGGUGUCCCAAGUUCCAGGGGAAUGUCUGUCACAGCCCACACUGAAAUGACAAGCCCUGAGGCUGCUCAGAACGUUGAGGUGCCCAGAGUGGGCGCAUGCUGACUGCCCAAAGCUCCACCCUUCACCUCCUGUGAUGUGUGCUCAGUAGGGGAAAUGCUAGGCCUCUCUGCUGGCACCAGGCUGGCCUCUUCCUCCUCCCUGGUGAGAUUCAUGGGGAGUUGCUUGGGGACUCAAUAGUCUGACAAGGGCCGAAUAUCUUCAGCUUCUCUCCAUUCCUGCCUGGAGGGCUACAUUUGCGUGCUUCCCACAGCAAAUCUGCCAGUGGAGAAGGCGACUGUGUUCUCUGCUCUGGGUCUCUAUACAGUUUUUUGUUUGUUUGUUUUUCGAGACAGGGUUUCUCUGUAGCUUUGGAGCCUGUCCUGGAACUAACUCUUGUAGACCAGGCUGGCCUUGAACUCACAGAGAUCCACCUGCCUCUGCCUCCCAAGUGCUGGGACUAACGGCGUGCGCCACCACCUCUAUAGAGUUUUGAAGGUAACACGGCAAAAAAAUUUUCCUUUUUAAAAUAUUGACAGGAGUCAGAAUGAGCCCCCUGAAAUAUGCCACCUGGGCAAAAGGACGAUUUUGAGCUACUGAGAAAAAGAAACAAUUUAGGAAAAGCCCCCAGGCCUUCUGCCACAGUCGAACGCAGUCUUCCCUGCCCCUUGCCAGCUGAGGGAGACAAACUUUCCCUCCAUCUCUGCAGCAACGAGCCCUGCCCCCAGCCUUUUCCCUUCCUACACUCACCUCUCCUGGUCUUGCCACUUCCCUGUGAGUUCUACCCUUGGUUAAAGUGACCCACAAACCUCCUCCUGCACACAUCAAGUCAAUUACAUCUUUGAGUGUUUACUUCUUUUUAACAGAGGUCUUCGGGCAUGUACAAAUCAAAAUGGUGACAGCAAAUGAAAUAUGUAUGCUUU
This is a long non-coding RNA of Alexandromys fortis (reed vole), 8894 nucleotides long. RefSeq lists it as uncharacterized. Lineage: Eukaryota; Metazoa; Chordata; Mammalia; Rodentia; Cricetidae. The transcript has 4 exons. The record is from RefSeq and is a predicted model, not a curated record.